RNAcentral lists this ribosomal RNA (465 nucleotides) under uncultured bacterium. RNAcentral describes it as "partial 16S ribosomal RNA". It matches the Rfam family "Bacterial small subunit ribosomal RNA", at positions 28 to 506 of the family's 1533-position model. The record is from RNAcentral.
GACGAACGCUGGCGGCGUGCUUAACACAUGCAAGUCGAACGGAAAGGCCCUGCUUGCCGGGUACUCGAGUGGCGAACGGGUGAGUAACACGUGGGUGAUCUGCCCUGCACUUCGGGAUAAGCUUGGGAAACUGGGUCUAAUACCGGAUAGGAGCCAUCUUUAGUGUGGUGGUUGGAAAGUUUUUUCGGUGUAGGAUGAGCUCGCGGCCUAUCAGCUUGUUGGUGGGGUAAUGGCCUACCAAGGCGGCGACGGGUAGCCGGCCUGAGAGGGUGUACGGCCACAUUGGGACUGAGAUACGGCCCAGACUCCUACGGGAGGCAGCAGUGGGGAAUAUUGCACAAUGGGCGCAAGCCUGAUGCAGCGACGCCGCGUGGGGGAUGAAGGCCUUCGGGUUGUAAACUCCUUUCGCUAGGGACGAAGCUUUUUUGUGACGGUACCUAGAUAAGAAGCACCGGCUAACUACGU